UGGGGAAUUUUGGACAAUGGGCGCAAGCCUGAUCCAGCCAUGCCGCGUGCGGGAUGAAGGCCUUCGGGUUGUAAACUGCUUUUGUACGGAACGAAAAGACUCCUUCUAAUAAAGGGGGUCCAUGACGGUACCGUAAGAAUAAGCACCGGCUAACUACGUGCCAGCAGCCGCGGUAAUACGUAGGGUGCGAGCGUUAAUCGGAAUUACUGGGCGUAAAGCGUGCGCAGGCGGUUAUGUAAGACAGAUGUGAAAUCCCCGGGCUCAACCUGGGAACUGCAUUUGUGACUGCAUGGCUAGAGUACGGUAGAGGGGGAUGGAAUUCCGCGUGUAGCAGUGAAAUGCGUAGAUAUGCGGAGGAACACCGAUAGCGAAGGCAGCUCACUAGGUCUGGAUUGACGCUCAGGGGCGAAAGCGUGGGGAGCAAACA
Molecule: ribosomal RNA, 427 nt
Filed under: uncultured bacterium
Lineage: Bacteria
Description: bacterial SSU rRNA
Rfam family: Bacterial small subunit ribosomal RNA
Source: RNAcentral